ACACACACACACACACACACACACACACACACACACAGGUAGAGGCUAUUGUUUAACGAGGAUUGACGAGGAACACCAAUCAACAGGUAACACUUAUAUUGGAAUGUUUCGGAGGUUACGUAAGUACACACCAAAAAGAGGACGAUGAAAAUAAAUAAAUUGGAUGGGGAUGAGGCACACACAUGAAUGCUGUAUAUAUAUAUUUACAGAUGUUAAUAAUGGGUUGAUUUUUCCUUUUUUUUUCCGAAAGAUUUUGAAUUCAUUAAAAAUUUCCUCUUUUCUAUUUUACUUGUUUUUUGUUAUUGUUUUUUUUUUUUUAAUACGCAUCGCUGUAAUAGUUUUUUGGUGUCGUGUGUCUUGCUUUUAUGUACCUAUUAAAGAGUUGAUAUUACUAGAUAUAUAGAUUAAAAACUUUUCAGAAAUUUAUGACUCAAAAAAUUUAUACGACUCCAAUAAUUUAUACUUCAAAUAUUAAUACAACUUAAGAAAUUUAUAAGACUCAAAAACUUUAUAUGACCCCAAUAAUUUACACGACUUCAAAUAUUAAUACGACUUAAGAAAUUUAUAAGACUCCAAUAAUUUAUACGAAUUCAAAUAUUAAUACAACUUAAGAAAUUUAUAAGACUCCAAUAAUUUAUACGAAUUCAAAUAUUAAUACAACUUAAGAAAUUUAUAAGACUCCAAUAAUUUACACGACUUCAAAUAUUAAUACGACUCAAGAAAUUUAUACGACUCCAAUAAUUUAUACGACUUCAAAUAUUAAUACAACUUAAGAAAUUUAUAAGACUCCAAUAAUUUACACGACUUCAAAUAUUAAUACAACUUAAGAAAUUUAUACGACUCCAAUAAUUUAUACGACUUCAAAUAUUAAUACAACUUAAGAAAUUUAUAAGACUCCAAUAAUUUACACGACUUCAAAUAUUAAUACAACUUAAGAAAUUUAUAAGACUCAAAAACUUUAUACGACUCAAAAAAUUUAUACAACUUUAAAAAUUCAUAUGACUCCCAGAAUUUAUAAAACUCAAAAGAUUUAUACAACUCCAAAAAUGUGUACAACUCAAAAUAUUUAUACGACAAAAAAUUAUACAACUCAAAAAAUUUAUACAACUCAAAAAAUUGGGAGCAUCGAGUUUUCAGAUUUCCAUGUAAUAAAAAGGAAAAAAAACACAAACUGGACUGACCAAAAAUCCAUAUAGACGUGUACUCUACUAGGGAAAGCUUGCCAUAUCUUCUUAUACCUCUCUAUAGUAACAUUGAGUAUUAAUUUAAGUAGAGGAUUGCCAUCUCGCCAACGACAGACUCUUCUAAAAUACAGUCCUCCCUCAAAUGGUACGGUUUCCAAUAGUUCGGUUUUGGUUUUAUGUGGAUUUUCUAAUAAGAUUUUUUAGGAUUUUUAAAUUUCCCGACAAGCAGGAAAUUUAAAAAUCCUAAAAGGUCUUCCAUGACAAUCCGUAUAAAGCCGAAACUGAACUAUUGAAAACCGUGCUAUUUGAGGGACUGUAUUUCUCGAUUAAAAUUCCACUGGCCUCUUGCAGACUCCUACGUUCUUAUGUUCUUCUGUUCUUAUUACUUCACUUCCAAUUAUAUGUUUUGUUUAGCCUAUUUGCACCCUCAUACAACUAAUUUUGAAGCCUAUUAAUAUGCUGGAAGUACCCAUUUAAUUAACCCGUAAAAGAUGUUUAUAGGAAGCUGACUUAGUCCUGUUGUAAUAGUAUCAUUAUUAUCAUUACUGUUUUAAAUUAUACUUGUCGUCAAUCAUACCUUAAAACAAGAACAACAAUAAUAACACUAUCGCACUAUCCGCUUCAUACACGAAGAUGAAGGAGAAUGUACAGAGGACGCCACAGAACGGAUAGGAUUGAGAAAUUGACACUAUACACAAGAGGUGACAGAGGAGAGCACGGAGGCAAGGAAUUCAGGGCUUGUGUGAGGUCUACCUGGCCAGCAUGGGGAGGGAGAUAGAGCAAAUACUAAGGUGGGCUUGUGUGAGGUCUACCUGGCUGGCAUGGGGAGGGAGAUAGAGCAAAUACUAAGGUUCUGGGGGCAACAAAAACUAUUCUAUUCAUUUUCUUUAGUUAUCAUAAUUCUAUAAGCCACUGAACCUUGAAGAUGACCAAUAGGAAGUAAGGGAGGAAAAUGGUAACACUUUUUUUUGAGUUGUAAGAAUUUUUUUUUGUUUUUUUUUCGAGGCAACAAAUUUAAAUGAAAAUGAAUAAAUAAAUAAAUAACAGCGAGAAGAGAUCGAUACACAUUUUUCAAGAUGGUAAGAAACUGAAGAUUACGUAUAAUUAAUUUUGAGGUGACACAAAUUUAAAGUCGUAACACAUAUCUUAACCAGGUAGCAGAGACGGGCCAAAUUUGUGGCUUUAAAAAUAUGAAUAGGUUAACGAUGAAUCACAGGUGAGAAAUGAAUGCUUGGUUAACGAGUCACAGGUAGGGAAGACAUAACUCACUAACGAUUAUCACAGGUAGGAAAUUAGUGACCUAACGAUAUGAUUCCCAGGUAAAAAAAAUGAUUAGGUUAACGAUGAAUCACAGGUGAGAAAUGAAUGCUUGGUUAACGAGUCACAGGUAGGGAAGACAUAACUCACUAACGACAUAAUCACAGGUAAGAAAUGAAUGACCUAACAAUAUGAUUCCCAGGUAAAAAAAUGAUUAGGUUAACGAUGAAUCACAGGUGAGAAAUGAAUGCUUGGUUAACGAGUCACAGGUAGGGAAGACAUAACUCACUAACGAUUAUCACAGGUAGGAAAUGAAUGACCUAACGAUAUGAUUCCCAGGUAAAAAAAUGAUUAGGUUAACGAUGAAUCACAGGUGAGAAAUGAAUGCUUGGUUAAUGAGUCACAGGUAGGGAAGACAUAACUCACUAACGAUUAUCACAGGUAGGAAAUUAGUGACCUAACGAUAUGAUUCCCAGGUAAAAAAAUGAUUAGGUUAAUGAUGAAUCACAGGUGAGAAAUGAAUGCUUGGUUAACGAGUCACAGGUAGGGAAGACAUAACUCACUAACGAUUAUCACAGGUAGGAAAUUAGUGACCUAACGAUAUGAUUCCCAGGUAAAAAAAGCAAUGAACUAUAACGAUGAAAUCAGGUGAGAAAGGAUUGGUUAGCUAACGAUGUGACACAGGUAGGGUAGAAACGACCCACUAACGAGGUAAUCACAGGUAGGAUAUUGACGAUUCAGGUAACGACACACAGGUAAGGGAAAGAAAUUAAUCACUAACGAUGUAUCAGACGCAAAAAAAAACAACUUCACAGGUACGCCAAAGGUAAAUAUAUGCUCUGCCCGCCACUGUCGCCGCUGCCGUGGGUAAACCAGCAACAGAGGUCAGGUCAAACACAGGUUCCAGUAGCGACGAAACACCCAACUCUCUCUUGUGGGGUCGAAACCUUUGUAAACGUACACUCGUCUCUUAAACAGGAUCCAAUUGCCUUAUAACAAACAUUCAUCUACCAUGCAUCUCAAGGUGUGGUUACCAUGCGUCCAUGCAACCGAGAAUCAACCACAUGCAACCGAGGACUCAACCGCAUGCACCCUAACCACAUGCCCUGCCUGAUGCGUUUGGUGGAGUGGCGUGGAGUGAGGUGGAGUGUGUAGGGGGUGGUUCGGUCACCCUCGGCGGAAGUGUGACCCCACCGACUUGAAGAAUAACAGCAAGCGGAGAGGUGGAGAGACAGGGAGAGAUGGAGACAGGGUGGAGAGAGAUAGCAGCCCCUCUCGGAAGUCUCUCAGCAUCACAGCAAGGAGAGGAGACAGAGAGACGGGAGAGAUAUGGAGAGCUCAAAUAGUCUCUCUCAAAGCCUUUUAAUCAUAUGUAACACAGUGAAUAUGGAGUACAGAGACAGGGUGGAGAGAGAUAACAAGCCCCUCCUGGAAGUCUCUCAGCAUCACAGCAAGGAGAGGAGACAGAGAGAGGGGAGAGAUAUGGAGAGAUCAAAAUAGCCUCUCUCAAAGCCUUUUAAUCAUAUGUAACACAGGAAAUAUGGAGUAGAGAGACAGGGUGGAGAGAGAUAACAGACCCUCCUGGAAGUCUCUCAGCAUCACAGCAAGGAGAGGAGACAGAGAGAGGGGAGAGAUAUGGAGAGCUCAAAUAGUCUCUCUCAAAGCCUUUUAAUCAUAUGUAACACAGGGAAUAUGGAGUAGAGAGACAGGGUGGAGAGAGAUAACAGACCCUCCUGGAAGUCUCUCAGCAUCACAGCAAGGAGAGGAGAUAGAGAGACAGGGAGAGAUAUGGAGAGAUCAAAAUAGCCUCUCUCAAAGCCUUUUAAUCAUAUGUAACACAGGGAAUAUGGAGAGGAGAGACAGGCACAGACGCAGAGAGAUAUAACACGUUCUUUUGCAAGCUUUACCUAACCACCAUGGCCAAAGGAUGCGAGACAGAGCGACAGAGAUGAUGUGAAGAUGUGGGCAGAUGUUACCCUCUCGUAGAAAGCCAUCACCACCACCAAUAUAAGUGAUAGAGAGAUGAGAUUGAAGACGAAAGAGAGAUAGACAGUAAGAUGAGAAACAGAGAGAGAUAUGUCUGUGUGAAGAGAGAGAGAGGUCGGACAAGACAAGACUGAGGUGGAAUGAAUGAAGGAAGGAAGGAAUGGAAAGAGAAAAAGGAAUUGCUCAGAGGUAGAGACAGUGAGAUGAGAAACAGAGAGAGAUAUGUCUGUGUGAAGAGUGAGCGAGGUCGGACGAGACGAGACUGAGGUGGAAGGAAGGGAAGGAAGGAGUGGAAAGAGGAAAAGGAAUUGCUCAGAGAUAGAGAGACAGAGAGAUAUGUCUGUGUGAAGAGUGAGCAAGGUCGGACGAGACAAGACUGAGGUGGAAUGAAGGGAAGGAAGGAAGGAGUGGAAAUUAAGAGAGGAAGGAAUUGAUGAAAGAGAAAGACAGUGCUGGAAAAUAAUAGGAAGCAGAGAGGAAUAUGCUUUUGUUAUAUAAGGGAACAAAAAUAAAAGGAAUAUGGUGUUUGUGGACAUAGGAGAAAGAGAAAAGAAGGAAAAUAAUUAAGUAAGAACAUGACACCUAUUAGUAAGUCUCUGUGUGAAGGGAAACAUUAGGAUUUAUAGAAACUGGUCCAUCCCUAACUUAACCUAACCCAACCUAUCCUACCUUGACCUGGCUUGACCUAGUGUAUUGUAACCUAGCCUAACCUAACCUAGUGUAUCGUAACCUAUCCUAACCUGACCUGACCUAACCUAAUCUAACCUAGUGUAUCGUAACCUAGCCUAAUCUGACCUGACCUAACCCAACCUAGCCUAACCUAACCCAACCUAGCCUAACCUGACCUAGUGUAUUGUAACCUAGCCCAACCUAACCUAGCGUAUCAUAGCCUAGUCUAACCUGACCGGAUCUGACCAAGUGUAUUAUAACCUAACCUAACCUGACCUGACCUAACAUAACCUAUCCUAACCUAACCUGACCUGACCAAGUGUAUCGUAACCUAGCCUAACCUAACCUAGUGUAUUGUAACUUAACCUAACCUAACCUGACUUGACCUGACCUACCCUAGAGUAUCAUAACCUAACCUGGCCUAACCUGACCUGACCUGACUUGACCUGACCUAAUGCAGUGUAAAUCUUCUCUCACACCACUUCUAGGGUAAAAUA
Long non-coding RNA from Eriocheir sinensis (Chinese mitten crab), 5593 nucleotides. RefSeq lists it as uncharacterized. The record is from RefSeq and is a predicted model, not a curated record. The transcript is spliced from 2 exons. NCBI's taxonomy places the organism in Eukaryota, Metazoa, Arthropoda, Malacostraca, Decapoda, Varunidae.